Molecule: unclassified non-coding RNA, 185 nt
Filed under: uncultured Ascomycota
Lineage: Eukaryota; Fungi; Ascomycota
Description: sequence contains ITS1
Source: RNAcentral
AAAAGAAGCCGAAAGGCUACUUAAAACCAUUGCGAACUCGUCCAAGUUGCUUCGGCGGCGCUGCGGCCCUUUCAGGGGGCUGCCGCAGCCCUCUGCCUCCCGCUGUGGAGGUAAGGGGCGCCCGCCGGAGGUACGAAACUCUCAUGUCUUAUAGUGGAAUCUCUGAGUACAAAGCAAAUAAGUCA